CCUACGGGUGGCUGCAGUGAGGAAUAUUGGUCAAUGGGCUUACGCCUGAACCAGCCAAGUCGCGUGAGGGAAGACUGCCCUAUGGGUUGUAAACCUCUUUUGUCAGGGAGCAACGCCGGCUACGUGUAGCCGGACUGAGAGUACCUGAAGAAAAAGCAUCGGCUAACUCCGUGCCAGCAGCCGCGGUAAUACGGAGGAUGAGAGCGUUAUCCGGAUUUAUUGGGUUUAAAGGGUGCGUAGGCGGGAUUCAAAGUCAGCGGUAAAAUCGCGGGGCUAAACCUCGCUCCGCAGUUGAAACUGGCGUGCUUGAGUGGGCGAGAAGUAUGCAGAAUGCGUGGUGUAGCGGUGAAAUGCAUAGAGAUCACGCAGAACUCCGAUGGCGAAGGCAGCAUACCGGAGCCCAACUGACGCUGAAGUACGAAAGCGUGGGUAGCGAACAGGAUUAGAUACCCGGGUAGUC
RNAcentral lists this ribosomal RNA (460 nucleotides) under uncultured bacterium. RNAcentral's name for it is "partial 16S ribosomal RNA". It matches the Rfam family "Bacterial small subunit ribosomal RNA", at positions 338 to 795 of the family's 1533-position model. The record is from RNAcentral.